This is a long non-coding RNA of Mustela erminea (ermine), 2728 nucleotides long. RefSeq lists it as uncharacterized. NCBI's taxonomy places the organism in Eukaryota, Metazoa, Chordata, Mammalia, Carnivora, Mustelidae. The record is from RefSeq and is a predicted model, not a curated record. The transcript is spliced from 2 exons.
UCCCUCUGCCCCUCCCCCUGCUCACACUUUCUCUGUCUCAAAAAAAAAAAAAUUUUUUUUUUAAAAAGUGGCUUCUUAGAGAGCUUGUUAUGAGAUAUCUGCAUGAGAAUGGAUAAGAAGGCAGAGUAGAUUGGGAUCUGACACUCUCCCAAGAAAUCUGGAAGGUGAGACAUGGGCUCACAAAUUGUUUUGGCAAAACACUAGGAAAUCUGCUGCUGUCAUCCCAAAGGCAAAUGAUGAGUGUUCUGUGUGGUCCCCAGCAGGCCAGGAGCAAAGGAGAGCUGGAUGGGGUUGUCUUGAGGUCUCUUCAAAUGGACCCUCUUGUAGCUUCAGCUUCCUUGGGGGUAAAGAAUGAGUCACAAGUAAUCUGUUAGAAUAGGGAUGACUUGGCAUGAAUUGAGGGCUACAAGCAAAAUGUCCCCAGUGAUAGGAAUCUCCAAAGAUCCUGUGAAAAGCUCUCUUGUCUGGGCUUACCUGGCUCUGAGUGUGAAAAGCCAGAAUAUGAUGUUACCAAAUCAAGUAAAAAUUCCCCUCUGCUUUUUGUCACUUCUCCAUUCUUGUUCUCUAAGUCCAGGGAGCGUGAAGUCCCAGUUAGCAAGUUGAGGGAAAAGAAGAGAGAGAGCAAGAAGAAGCCAACUACAGUGCCUUCCCUGAAGGGAGAGGGUCUUCCUGAAACAGGCCCCGGGGAGAAGAGAUUUAAUUCUUGUUACUGCAAGGGAUAGAAUAUUCUAUUUUGAAAUGAACUAGGUUGGGUAACUUAAAGUGACCACAGGACUAUUCCUAAAAGAAAGCAGAGUACCACAGGACCUGCUCUGUUUUCAUCUAGUGACGGUGGAAAAAACUUCUUUCAUUAAAAAAAUGAAAGGGUUUCAGGAGACAAAAAGAAAGAAGCAAUUUGAUGACACAUCGUUAUGUAUCGCUAAUUUAACAUAUGGGUUACAGUUAAGUGCUCAUAUAUCAGAAAUUUAAUUCUUUAGAUAAUAAUACAACUCACGGUGGAAAAACAGCAACCAAGGAUCCAACCCAUGUUAUGCUAGGAUUCUACCAUCAGACAUUCAAACUCCAAAAUAGAAGAAACACCUCUGUUAUUUUCAGGUCCCUUUGGUCAUUUCUGGCUCGGGGUGUAUCACGUGGCUUCCUCUCGCUGGCCAAGCGGAGAACAGCCUGAGCCUUGGGACAGAGACUGACAGAAGGAAAUAGCACCAAAGAACAAGAUGCCAAAAUUGCUUUGGGGAAAUACAUUAAAAUUAGAGGUUUGGAUGCAGCCAGGGACCAGAGGCCUGCAAUAUUUGGGGCACAAACAGUAACAACAAUGUACCUAGAGAAGUAUUUAUUUAUACCACAUUUGCAUCUCUUGUCUCUGACAGUUUGUACGUUUAUGUUCUAUUGUUAGCACUUAAAGGAAUAUGAAGGCUUGUUUGGUGGACUGAGGAAUCCGUAGGAGAGCAAUAGUCAUUUUGUUCACUGAGGUAAUUGCUCUCUUCCUUCACAGCCAGUACUGCUACUAGAUUUGGCAAAUUUGUAUUCUAUGGGAGAUUUUUUUAAAACUUUGAUGCUAUUUAAAAUUUUUCCUCAAAACAAUUUUUCCCCUCAGAGAGACUUAAUCUUUCAAUAUUAUACUUCAUAAUUUUUUUUUGCUCGCAUAUUCAACUGAUUAACAUUUAUGGCUUAGCUAAAUAAAAUCUCUGAUCUCUUCAUUAAUAGAAUAUCAUUCAGCAAUGCUUUUGAGCUAAUUUCUGUUAAGUCUCCAUUCUUCUGGAGAUUUUUAAGCGAAGAAAGGGAGAGGAAAAAGUGGAAAAUAAAAUUUUUACUUUCAUCUAGUGUUUGGACACCCUACCACUGAAGUGUAUGCAUUCACAUUGCAUUUAAUUCUUCCAAAUAAAUUCAUAAUUAUUUCUUUUCCCAGUUGCUAGCCAGUGAUGUUAAUCACCUGUAUGUGUAUUUAAGGUCGUGUCCUGUGUUUCUGUAGAGGCUAGAUCCCUUUAUUAACAUCUCUUCAAGUCUUUGAUGUUUUAAAGACCUGACUGAAAUAGCCCUCUGAGGUGCUAGAUCUGAUCAAAGACCACAUAAGGCAGGUUUCAUGGGAAUUGGAAAACUGCCCAAGGACUCUAUAGACCAAUACGUCCUCUCUCCUCCAUUAGUAAGGACCAAAGGAAAACAUGGAUAUAUACUAUGGGAAACAAGAGCUGAGUAUUUCUUUAUCAUAUUGAAUGUUAAUAGUUCUCACAAUUUGGAAAGUUCCCUAUUGAUCCUGUCAAGAUAGGUCGAGUGUCUAAAGUGACCUUCCAUGACUGACUAACUUGCCACUGCAAAGUUAACAGCAGUACUGUGUUACAUGUUUCUUGAGGGCAAGGACUUCAUGUAAAUCAUCUUUGUAUGUCUAGACUCUGAUGAGUGUGCCUGGGAAGUAGCAGGUGUUCAAUAAAAUUUUUGUUAAAUGAAUGAAACCAGCACAUAAAUAACAUGAAAUAGAAAUCAAGUCCAAAAUGGGAACUAAAAUUAGGCUUUUCUCCCCUCCCUGAUUAUAUAGACCAGAGAACUUAUUAUUAGAUCUAGGUUAGGAUAAAAAGAUUAAUGAAAACAAGAUUUGUUAGGACUCAACCGGUAUUACUGAAAUUGUAAUGAUAACAAAGAAAGAGGCAAGAUUCAGUAUAUUGACCUAAUUCUUGAUAUGCAAGCCAAAUAUGGACCACCUACCCUCUUUGUGUGUUUAAUGGAAAACAAAAAA